GACGAACGCUGGCGGCGUGCUUAACACAUGCAAGUCGAACGGUGAAGCGCCUUCCUUUUUGGUGGGUGUGGAUGAGUGGCGAACGGGUGAGUAACACGUGAGUAACCUGCCCCCCUCUUCUGGAUAACCGCAUGAAAGUGUGGCUAAUACGGGAUAUUCUGGGUCUGUCGCAUGAUGGGUCUGGGAAAGAUAUUGUUUCGGUGGGGGAUGGGCUCGCGGCCUAUCAGCUUGUUGGUGGGGUGAUGGCCUACCAAGGCGGUGACGGGUAGCCGGCCUGAGAGGGUGGGCGGUCACACUGGGACUGAGACACGGCCCAGACUCCUACGGGAGGCAGCAGUGGGGAAUAUUGCACAAUGGGCGCAAGCCUGAUGCAGCGACGCCGCGUGAGGGAUGGAGGCCUUCGGGUUGUGAACCUCUUUCGCCAGUGAAGCAGGCCUGCCUCGUUUGUGGGUGGGUUGACGGUAGCUGGAUAAGAAGCGCCGGCUAACUACGUG
Molecule: ribosomal RNA, 494 nt
Filed under: uncultured bacterium
Lineage: Bacteria
Description: partial 16S ribosomal RNA
Rfam family: Bacterial small subunit ribosomal RNA
Source: RNAcentral